RNAcentral lists this ribosomal RNA (210 nucleotides) under Triticum aestivum (bread wheat). Its description in RNAcentral is "partial small subunit ribosomal RNA". The record is from RNAcentral. Lineage: Eukaryota; Viridiplantae; Streptophyta; Magnoliopsida; Poales; Poaceae.
AUGGUUUUGUUUCUGAAUAUAUUUGGGUUUGUUGGAUUUGCCGAAUGUUACCCAAAUGUCUCAAUUGCUUAUCACAUUAUCUUAACAGUGCAUGUGACUGUAGCAUCAUUUGAAUGAAGUUUUUCAAAAUUGAAGUUACUGAAAAAUUAUUUGAGGUUAACUGUGUCACAAGAAAGACUAAAUGGAUUGGCAAUAUAUUUACAUCCCUAA